GACGAACGCUGGCGGCGUGCUUAACACAUGCAAGUCGAACGCUGAAGCUCAGCUUUUGUGGGGUGGAUGAGUGGCGAACGGGUGAGUAACACGUGAGUAACCUGCCCCCUUCUUUGGGAUAACGCCAGGAAACGGGUGCUAAUACUGGAUAUUAACUGGUCUUCGCUUGGGGGUUGGUGGAAAGGGCGUUUCUGGUGGGGGAUGCGCUCGCGGCCUAUCAGCUUGUUGGUGGGGUGAUGGCCUAGCAAGGCUUUGACGGGUAGCCGGCCUGGUAGGGUGCCCGGUCACGUUGGCGCUCAGAUUCGGCCCGGGCUCCUGCGGAGGGCACCAGUGGGGACUAUUGCACAAUGUGCUCCACCCUGAUGCGGCGCCGCCUCGUGCGGGGUUGCGUCCUUCGUGUUGUGAACCUCUUUCUCUCAUGCUCUAGCCUCAACCAUGGUUGUAGUGAGGGUAGUGGGUAAAGAAGCGCCGGCUAACUACGUG
RNAcentral lists this ribosomal RNA (483 nucleotides) under uncultured bacterium. Its description in RNAcentral is "partial 16S ribosomal RNA". It matches the Rfam family "Bacterial small subunit ribosomal RNA", at positions 28 to 507 of the family's 1533-position model. The record is from RNAcentral.